AUGGACAAAGCACAAAGGAACAACAUCCUAUCCCCUCUGGGUAACCAACUUGUUAAACACCGUGCAUCUAUUUACGCAGACGAUGUCAUCAUUUUCCUCAAGCCUGAGAUGCAUGAUUUUGGGGUUGUAACUGAAGUGCUGAAGCUUUUUGGUGAAGCAACCGGUCUCAUCACUAACCUGGCUAAAAGCAAGAUCCUUCCUAUUCGGUGUGACAGCCUUGACCUUACUCCCCUGCAGCUGGCUCUUGGAUGCCAGUUGGCUAGCUUCCCCUGCACUUACCUUGGGAUGCCUCUAUCUGAUAGGCGGUUGAAGCUCAUUGACUUCCAAGACCUGCUUGACAAGUUAAUUAAGAAGAUUGCGGGUUGGAAGGCUAGGUGGAUCUCCUCCACUGGAAGAAUGGUACUCGUGAGGUUUGUACUUUCGGCAAUGCCAAUUUUCAUGCUUCUGGCUGUUCAUCAACCGAAAUGGGUCAUCAAGCAAAUCGAUAAGCUACGUCGUGCUUUUUUAUGGUCUGGCUCUGAUGCUGUCUGCGGUGGCAAGUGCCUUGUCCGCUGGACCCAGGUGUGCUCACCCAUCUCUGUAGGCGGGCUUGGCAUCCAUGACCUUCAAGCUCAGGGGCGGGCGCUUAAAGUACGCUGGCUUUGGCAAAGCAUCACAGAUCCGGAUAAACCAUGGCAAGGUCUGCAGCUCCCUGUUGACAAGCACGUUAAGGCUCUUUUCAUUGCUUGUACCUCCAUCAAAAUUGGUAGUGGUAUUAAGAUAUCCUUUUGGCACGAUCACUGGCUCAACGGUGAGAUUCCAGCUGUUUCGUUUCCUAACCUUUUCAAGCAUAGCAAAAACAGAAGAAUAUCGUUGGCUGAAGGACUCACCAAUAGAAAAUGGGUCACUCUUCUCAAGCGCAACCCGGGCACCGAGGUGUUGCGCGAAUACAUUGACUUCUGGCACAGAUCCAGUGUGGUCACUUUCUCCAACCUGGAGGAUGAGUUCAUUUGGAAAUGGUCAGCGGAUGGAAGAUAUAAUGCUAAGUCAGCUUACCUAUGUCAAUUCUGGGGCAGGAUUGAUUCUCCUCUUCCUGAGAUCAUUUGGCAUAUCAAGGUUCCACCAAGAAUAAGAUUCUUCAGUUGGCUCUUUGUACAGGGCAAAUGUUUGACUGCGGACAACCUUGCGAAGCGAGGUUGGCCUCACAACCCGAUCUGUCAAUUAUGCCACUUAGGGUGGGAGGAUGAUCUGCACCUUGUAUCUAGCUGCCCCUUCACGGCUGGUAUUUGGGGCUAUUGCCUGGCGAUAUAUAAUUUUCCAUUCAACCUCUUACCUAUUGCUCAUACUGGCUCUAUAUUGGACUGGUGGUUAAAGGCUCUGGAUCGUACAGGCAGGAAAAAGGACCUAUCAUCACUUAUAAUGACGGUGUCCUGGCAGGUUUGA
RNAcentral lists this ribosomal RNA (1422 nucleotides) under Triticum aestivum (bread wheat). Its description in RNAcentral is "partial small subunit ribosomal RNA". Lineage: Eukaryota; Viridiplantae; Streptophyta; Magnoliopsida; Poales; Poaceae. The record is from RNAcentral.